ACAUACGGAUCAACAAUCCGUAUGGUUCAUACGGAUUAGCAAUCUGUAUGACUAUACAGAUUGCUGAUCCGUAUGUUCCUAA
Molecule: non-coding RNA, 82 nt
Organism: Glycine max (soybean)
Lineage: Eukaryota; Viridiplantae; Streptophyta; Magnoliopsida; Fabales; Fabaceae
Source: Rfam